This 1066-nucleotide ribosomal RNA is filed under the name Pseudoneoconiothyrium rosae. RNAcentral's name for it is "SSU rRNA". It matches the Rfam family "Eukaryotic small subunit ribosomal RNA", at positions 21 to 1100 of the family's 1831-position model. The record is from RNAcentral. Lineage: Eukaryota; Fungi; Ascomycota; Dothideomycetes; Pleosporales; Thyridariaceae.
CAACAUUGCUGUCUCAAAGAUAGGCAUGCAUGUCUAAGUAUAAGCAAUUAUACCGUGAACCUGCGAAUGGCUCAUUAAAUCAGUUAUCGUUUAUUUGAUAGUACCUUACUACUUGGAUACCCGUGGUAAUUCUAGAGCUAAUACAUGCAAAAAACCCCCAACUUCGGAAGGGGUGUAUUUAUUAGAUAAAAAACCAAUGCCCUUCGGGGCUCUUUGGUGAUUCAUGAUAACUUAACGGAUCGCAUGGCCUUGCGCCGGCGACGGUUCAUUCAAAUUUCUGCCCUAUCAACUUUCGAUGGUAAGGUAUUGGCUUACCAUGGUUUCAACGGGUAACGGAUUUUUAGGGAAAGAUCCCGGAGAGGGAGCCUGAGAAACGGCUACCACAUCCAAGGAAGGCAGCAGGCGCGCAAAUUACCCAAUCCCGACACGGGGAGGUAGUGACAAUAAAUACUGAUACAGGGCUCUUUUGGGUCUUGUAAUCGGAAUGAGUACAAUUUAAAUACCUUAACGAGGAACAAUUGGAGGGCAAGUCUGGUGCCAGCAGCCGCGGUAAUUCCAGCUCCAAUAGCGUAUAUUAAAGUUGUUGCAGUUAAAAAGCUCGUAGUUGAACCUUGGGCCUGGCUGGCCGGUCCGCCUCACCGCGUGUACUGGUCCGGCCGGGCCUUUCCUUCUGGAGAACCGCAUGCCCUUCACUGGGUGUGUCGGGGAACCAGGACUUUUACUUUGAGAAAAUUAGAGUGUUCAAAGCAGGCCUUUGCUCGAAUACGUUAGCAUGGAAUAAUAGAAUAGGACGUGCGGUCCUAUUUUGUUGGUUUCUAGAACCGCCGUAAUGAUUAAUAGGGAUAGUCGGGGGCGUCAGUAUUCAAUUGUCAGAGGUGAAAUUCUUGGAUCUAUUGAAGACUAACUACUGCGAAAGCAUUCGCCAAGGAUGUUUUCAUUAAUCAGUGAACGAAAGUUAGGGGAUCGAAGACGAUCAGAUACCGUCGUAGUCUUAACCGUAAACUAUGCCGACUAGGGAUCGGGCGAUGUUUUUUUAUUGACUCGCUCGGCACCUUACGAGAAAUCA